Molecule: ribosomal RNA, 322 nt
Filed under: uncultured eukaryote
Lineage: Eukaryota
Description: partial 18S ribosomal RNA
Rfam family: Eukaryotic small subunit ribosomal RNA
Source: RNAcentral
CCCUUAGAUGUUCUGGGCCGCACGCGUGCUACACUGAGUGGAUCAGCGGGUCAGGUUGCGCGAAAGUGUUUCCUAAUCUUGAAAUCCGCUCGUGAUGGGGAUUGACGGUUGCAAUUUUCCGUCAUGAACGAGGAAUACCUUGUAAGCGCGGGUCAUCAUCCCGCGCUGAAUACGUCCCUGCCCUUUGUCCACACCGCCCGUCGCUCCUACCGAUUGAGUGGUCCGGUGAGGCUUUGGGAUCUGAGCGGAAAGAGCGUUUCGCUGUUUCUGCUCGGAAAACUCAGUCGAACCUUAUCAUUUAGAGGAAGGAGAAGUCGUAACA